This is a non-coding RNA of Strongyloides stercoralis, 46 nucleotides long. The record is from Rfam. Lineage: Eukaryota; Metazoa; Nematoda; Chromadorea; Rhabditida; Strongyloididae.
CCAAAGGCCCUCUUUAGGGCCACCAAUCCUUUCUUUUUAUCUUAAG